Trachemys scripta elegans is the source of this 540-nucleotide non-coding RNA. The record is from the annotation of a RefSeq genome assembly. Lineage: Eukaryota; Metazoa; Chordata; Testudines; Emydidae.
CCAGGGGCUGAAGUGAAUUUCAUUAUUUCCCUUUUUUCUCCCCAUCUUUUCAAAAUGAUGGGAAAUGUGUUGUUACUUCUGGUUUUACUCGCUCUCUCGCCCUGUGCCCGGUCCCAAAUCCAGCUGGUCCAGUCCGGGCCUGGCGUGGUGAAGCCCGGAGAGACCCUCUCACUGACCUGCACCGUGUCUGGUUACUCCAUUUCUUCUGGCUACAACUGGGCUUGGAUCCAGCAGGCUCCUGGGAAAGGCUUAGAAUAUAUGGGGCAUGUAUAUGCAGCUAGUGGGAGCACAAACUAUGCCCCGACUUUCCAGGGCCGAAUCACCAUCUCUGCAGACACCGCCAAGAACCAGUUCUCCCUGCAGCUCCGCUCGCUGACAGCUGCAGACACCGCCACCUAUUACUGUGCCAGACACACAGUGACACAGAGCAGAGCAGGGACCCGACUAAGAAAGUGUGCUGGGGUCUUGAAUAUACCUUUGUCGAAAGGAAAACAAUUACCAGUUGCCUUCUACGACCUCAAAUCUCUAGACAAGGUGUGA